This 425-nucleotide ribosomal RNA is filed under the name uncultured bacterium. RNAcentral's name for it is "partial 16S ribosomal RNA". It matches the Rfam family "Bacterial small subunit ribosomal RNA", at positions 354 to 796 of the family's 1533-position model. The record is from RNAcentral.
GUGGGGAAUCUUAGACAAUGGGCGCAAGCCUGAUCUAGCCAUGCCGCGUGAGCGAUGAAGGCCUUAGGGUUGUAAAGCUCUUUCAGUGGGGAAGAUAAUGACUGUACCCACAGAAGAAGCCCCGGCUAACUCCGUGCCAGCAGCCGCGGUAAUACGGAGGGGGCUAGCGUGGUUCGGAAUUACUGGGCGUAAAGCGCACGUAGGCGGACUGGAAAGUCAGGGGUGAAAUCCCGGGGCUCAACCCCGGAACUGCCUUUGAAACUCCCAGUCUUGAGGUCGAGAGAGGUGAGUGGAAGUCCGAGUGUAGAGGUGAAAUUCGUAGAUAUUCGGGGGAACACCAGUGGCGAAGGCGGCUCACUGGCUCGAUACUGACGCUGAGGUGCGAAAGCGUGGGGAGCAAACAGGAUUAGAAACCCUUGUAGUCC